RNAcentral lists this ribosomal RNA (1528 nucleotides) under Klebsiella variicola. RNAcentral's name for it is "bacterial SSU rRNA". It matches the Rfam family "Bacterial small subunit ribosomal RNA". Lineage: Bacteria; Pseudomonadati; Pseudomonadota; Gammaproteobacteria; Enterobacterales; Enterobacteriaceae. The record is from RNAcentral.
AGAGUUUGAUCAUGGCUCAGAUUGAACGCUGGCGGCAGGCCUAACACAUGCAAGUCGAGCGGUAGCACAGAGAGCUUGCUCUCGGGUGACGAGCGGCGGACGGGUGAGUAAUGUCUGGGAAACUGCCUGAUGGAGGGGGAUAACUACUGGAAACGGUAGCUAAUACCGCAUAACGUCGCAAGACCAAAGUGGGGGACCUUCGGGCCUCAUGCCAUCAGAUGUGCCCAGAUGGGAUUAGCUGGUAGGUGGGGUAACGGCUCACCUAGGCGACGAUCCCUAGCUGGUCUGAGAGGAUGACCAGCCACACUGGAACUGAGACACGGUCCAGACUCCUACGGGAGGCAGCAGUGGGGAAUAUUGCACAAUGGGCGCAAGCCUGAUGCAGCCAUGCCGCGUGUGUGAAGAAGGCCUUCGGGUUGUAAAGCACUUUCAGCGGGGAGGAAGGCGGUGAGGUUAAUAACCUCACCGAUUGACGUUACCCGCAGAAGAAGCACCGGCUAACUCCGUGCCAGCAGCCGCGGUAAUACGGAGGGUGCAAGCGUUAAUCGGAAUUACUGGGCGUAAAGCGCACGCAGGCGGUCUGUCAAGUCGGAUGUGAAAUCCCCGGGCUCAACCUGGGAACUGCAUUCGAAACUGGCAGGCUAGAGUCUUGUAGAGGGGGGUAGAAUUCCAGGUGUAGCGGUGAAAUGCGUAGAGAUCUGGAGGAAUACCGGUGGCGAAGGCGGCCCCCUGGACAAAGACUGACGCUCAGGUGCGAAAGCGUGGGGAGCAAACAGGAUUAGAUACCCUGGUAGUCCACGCUGUAAACGAUGUCGAUUUGGAGGUUGUGCCCUUGAGGCGUGGCUUCCGGAGCUAACGCGUUAAAUCGACCGCCUGGGGAGUACGGCCGCAAGGUUAAAACUCAAAUGAAUUGACGGGGGCCCGCACAAGCGGUGGAGCAUGUGGUUUAAUUCGAUGCAACGCGAAGAACCUUACCUGGUCUUGACAUCCACAGAACUUUCCAGAGAUGGAUUGGUGCCUUCGGGAACUGUGAGACAGGUGCUGCAUGGCUGUCGUCAGCUCGUGUUGUGAAAUGUUGGGUUAAGUCCCGCAACGAGCGCAACCCUUAUCUUUUGUUGCCAGCGGUCCGGCCGGGAACUCAAAGGAGACUGCCAGUGAUAAACUGGAGGAAGGUGGGGAUGACGUCAAGUCAUCAUGGCCCUUACGACCAGGGCUACACACGUGCUACAAUGGCAUAUACAAAGAGAAGCGACCUCGCGAGAGCAAGCGGACCUCAUAAAGUAUGUCGUAGUCCGGAUUGGAGUCUGCAACUCGACUCCAUGAAGUCGGAAUCGCUAGUAAUCGUAGAUCAGAAUGCUACGGUGAAUACGUUCCCGGGCCUUGUACACACCGCCCGUCACACCAUGGGAGUGGGUUGCAAAAGAAGUAGGUAGCUUAACCUUCGGGAGGGCGCUUACCACUUUGUGAUUCAUGACUGGGGUGAAGUCGUAACAAGGUAACCGUAGGGGAACCUGCGGUUGGAUCACCU